AUGGCCGACCAUAGCAAAAAUAAAGGAAGAAAAGAAAGAACAAGAACCCUAGGGUGAAAAUUUAAGAGAAAAUUGGUGGAUUUCAAGUAAUCAAGCAAUCAAAAGUAAAAUUUCUUGAUUUUGACUUGUGAUCUACCUUUUCCAUACAUUCUUUUGCAUUUUCCAUGGUUGAAUCACAAGAUAUCAUGAAGGAUAGUGUGUUGAUCAAACCCUAGGAGAGAGAAUUUGAUGAUGAUUUAGAUAGAUUUUUAAAAUAUAUGGAUGUUUUUAGUUGUUUAUGGUGUUAAGUGUAAGAAUUAAGCUUGAAAUUGACAUAUUCCUCAUGAGUUCAUCAUUGGCUGAAUCUUCCUUGUAGAGUGUUGAUGGUGGAUUUGAUUUUAUUUCAAGUGAAUUGGUUAAGAUAUGAUGAAUUAUGGUGAGAAAAUCAAGUAGGAAAAAUCAUAGUGUUGAUGCUCUCACUAUGGCUGAAAUUCUCAAGAAGAAAUGUGAGGAUGGUUUUGCUAAAUUUUAUGUUAUUUGACUUGUGUUUGAUGGUUUGGGGAAUUCGAAGAAAAAUGGAGUUAAUUGGAGUUAAAUUGGACGUAUUGGCCAAUUAAUCGGGUGAUAGAUCGAAUUAGGCCAAUACCAUUUUAUUUAGGUACACAAUUGAAUUUGUGUAGAACACCGUGUUUAAACGAUAAUCCGAACAAUUUGCAUUCCAUUUCAUGCAUUAGUAUAAAGCUCGAAUUGGUUUUAUAACAAUAUAGCACAAAUGUAGUAAAUGGCUUAUUGUGCAUUAUGUCUAGGUGGUGAGCUUUCUGGCAAAAUUAAAGAGAUAGUACCUGAGGAUCAAGAAUCGGAGUACUCAGAAUUUGACUCUUGAAAUAGUGAGUAACCUUACUAUCGUCUUAAUUAUCUAAAGUAGUUUUUAUUCGUUUUUGUGAAUUUUAUGGAAAAUGAGUUUAAAUGGUAAAUCUUUAUUUUUUAUAAACAAAAUGUGAUUAAAUGAAAUGAUUUUAUAAAAUUGUCUUGAAAUUGAAUGAUGGUUUUUAAAAUGGAGUAAUUGGAGACUAAUUGUUGUAUUGUAAAUUAUGGUUUGAAUUGAAUGGCUUAUGAAAUUUGGUAAAUGUGCUGAAAAGUAUGAACUGUUGAUUUGCCUUGAGAGGUUGUAAAACAAAAUAAUUACCAUGUCAUGCUGUUGAAUUUUAUUGAAUUGGUGGGUUAUAUAUUGGUAGCUGCAAUGGACGGGUUCUGUGGACCAGCCUAUUAGAGGGGCACGGUAACCCCAUUAUAUUCUUACCUCGAUCGGAGAGGCGUGUAGGGUAACUCUUGAGGUACAACUUUAGAGUUCACUUCACGCCAAACCACCACGUAAGGGUGAACUCAGCCAACGCCAAGGAACGACUAUGUUUUCAAAAUAAAAACAUGAUUUAUGCGUACAUGACUUUUUAAUAGCCUUGGCGGACUCGGUUUGUCACGACCCGGUAUUCCCCUCGAGCCCGUGACAACCGUCGCGGUGUCCCGGUAGACACUUAUUGCCCGAAAUGUCAACCCGAAAUCCCGCAAGGCUUUACUAUCAGUUUCUCUGUUCCCUUGUGAGCAACCAUUGUCAAAUAUCGUGUUCUAAAAGAUUUUAAGCUGUUUCCAACUUUAAACAAAUAAAAUAUUAAUUUUUCGUCUCACAGGGAUAAUUUGGUCAUUUUUCUCAAAAAUUUUGAAACUGGCUAAAACGUAAUAUACAAGUACAAAACACACAAUUCAUAUUCAAAAAUGAGUUUAAAAGUCUAAAAUCUUCAUUUAAAACGAAAUUAUGGUUAUUUGAAUAUAAUAAGAAAAUAAAAGAAAUAUUAAGUAAAAUAUUCUAUUUUCUUAUAAAACAAUAUUUAUAGAGUUAUACGUGAAUAAUUUUUAUAACGUAAAAGCUAAAUAAAUUUAUACAUACUUAAAUACAGUAAGCCAAAAUAUUUAAUUUAAUUUACAAUAACAAGAGUGCCCCCGAAUAAACAAAAGUAAAGAGGACUGUGAACCUACGGUUUGGAAAAUGCAGAUCCCACUGUAGUCCUCGAUGAGAUCAGCUAUCUACAGUCUAUACUGAACCUGAAAUGGGUGGAAAGGAGGGUGGUGAGAUUAUAAAAUCCCAAUGAGUAAACAAACAUCAUCAUAAACAUCUAGAGUUGAGUACAUGGAGACAAUAAAGUAAAUCAUCAUAAACUGGGUUAUAGCAUUAGAACACAUUUUGUUCAAAACACGUAAAGAGGCUUAUGAAUCUCAUAAAAAUCUAGGCUUGUGCCAUAAAUCCAUUCUCGGGGACACCUUGGCCGAGGCAUCCUACCGAGACCGCCAAGGCUAUUAAAAUUCACAUUUCACAUAAAUCAUGUUUUUGUUUUGAAAACAUAGCCGUUCCUUGGCGUUGGCUGAGUUCCCCCUCACGUGGUGGUUUAGCGUGAAGUGAACCCUAAACUUUACCCCAGGAGAUACCCUACGCGCCUCUCCGUUCGAGGUAAGAAUAUAAUGGGGUUUACCGUGCCCCUCUAAAAGGCUGGUCCACAGAAACCCCCUACUGCAGUGAUUAAUUAAUAUAUAAUCCACCAUAUAAUAAAACUCAAUAACAUGAUAUGGCAAUUUUGUAAUUCGUAGUUUUUCAAGGUAACCAAACAAUUCGCAUUUCAAUACAAUUGCCAACUAGCCAAUCAUGCUCGAUUUAUCAUAAGCCAGUUAAUUUAAACAAUCAAAUUGCCACAAUUAACAGUCUCCGUGUACUCUAUUUUUCAAAAUCACUAUUAAUUUCAAAACAAUUUAUAAUUUAAUUUCAUUGAAACUCAUUUAUUCAUAAAACAUGAAAAUUUAUCUUUUUAAAUUCCUUUUUCCAUAGAAUUCAUGAAAGCAUCUAAAAACCACCCUAGAUAAUUAAAAUGACAGUAAGUUUACUCACAAUGUCUAGAAUGCAGACUUUCGAAGCACUCUGUCUACUGGUCCUCGGAUGCAAUUUCCUUGCCUUUAUCGGAGGACUCACCACCUUGACACAGUACAAAAUCGAGAGUUUCACCAAGUUGGUACUAAAUCAAAAUUAAACUAAUUUAGACUACCAAUGCAUGAUAUGGAAUGCAAAAAUGCACUGGUAACUAUCUAAACCCGGUAUUGGCCUAAUUCGUCUUAUCACCCGAUUAAAUUCCUAACGGGUCCGUUUAAACUCCAAUUUAAUUCUUUUCAGUUUCUAUACCUCAAUUGCACCCAAAUUAACUUAAUGUCCCUCAGUGUGGUGCAAAUUAUCAGUCCCAACAGCAAAUUACGAAAAUACCCCUAGUGGGUAAAAAUUCGUAUUUUUGCUCCGAAAAUUCCCAUUAUUUUUCUAGGCUCAUAAUUCAUUAUUCCUUAACCAAUUCUCCUAGAAUAAAAUCAAACUCAUCCUCACUCACUACAUGGUAAAUUCAGCCAUUAAUGGUUGGGGGAGAAAAUAAAUUCUUUUCUUGUUGUUUUGUUUCUAAAUAUGCUAAACUAACUAAAAACACUAACAUAAAUUAAAAUCAAAUAAAUCCAACAACUUUCUCUCUCCUAACCCAUUUUUUCAGAAUUGAAUUCAUCAUGAAAACAUGUAAUUUAAUCAUGGAAAAUAAAGAGAAAUGCUUGGGAAUAAGAAAACUCAAGCUUAAUAAAAAAAACUCACCUUUUUCACUUAAUUUCCUUGAAAAUUCACACUUUUUCUUUGAUUUUCUCUCUCUAGGGUUUUGUUUUUGUUUUCUCUCUCUUCUUGCUGGUUUGGCCGGCCAUGGGGUGGAAGAUGGGCUGAUUUUGUGCCUUUUAAAAAGGAAAAUAAUAAAUUAAUAAAGGCAUGACACAUGGCAUCAUGUCAUUGGCCCGUUUUUAAAAUUUUAAAAAUUUAAACAUUUUAUCUCCACCACAUGUUUAGUCAAGGGUCAAAGAUGAAGACAAAGGAAGACCAUGUGCUGGAAAAAAUAACCUGGUGGUGGAAAAUUACAAUUUUGCCCCUGAGGUGGCAAAAUUACCAUUUUACCCCUAUACUCCAAAUUAUACCGAAAUUAAAAUUUUUCACUUCUAAACCUCAAAUCAUACUUCAAUAAGUCAAAAUAUACUCUAAUAAGUCAAAUGGCGCCAAAAAAUUCUUUUUUAAAAUUCCCAUUUUGUCCCCAAGUGGCAAAUGACCAUUUUGCCCCUAGUUACUGAAAAUUCCGAUUUGACUCCAAAUUGAUCCUCAAACUCCAAAUUACCAUUUUAAGUUAUCCAUGAACUGUGAAACUCUUAAUCUCACCUUAAAAUUCCUAUUUGAUCUAGUUCGAGGAUUAAAUAAACUUUGUUGUACCUCUAGGUACAAUACCGACUUUUGUAAAUUUUUCGGGACUCUCCUAGCAUGCAAUCAUGCUAUCAUCACAUGUAAGUCAUGAAUAGUAUUUUAUAAGGUCGGGCUUUACACGGUUGGGAUAGCCCCAGGCCAAGGUAUCCCUGAUAACUGAGUAUAAGAAUGAUUUUGGCACGAGCCAAAGUUUUAAGAAAUUCAUAAGCCAUGUUGAUUACUCAAUUUAUAUGAAUUGAUUUUAUUUGGUUGAAAUGAGUUGAAAGGUGAUGAAUUACAAUAUGAUGAUCUAUUUUAAUCUGUCUUCAUUUACUUAGUUUUAGAUAUUUUAGAUGGUAUUUAUUUACUCACUAAGAUUAUAUAAUCUCACCACCCUCCUUUCCACCCAUUUCAGGCUCAGGAUAGUCGGUAGAUAGCUCACUUUGUUGAGGGCUACUGUUAGACUUGCAUCCUAAAAAAUUGUAAGUUUACCGCUUUUGAUAGUUUUGGUCGUUCGUGGGCCCACGUGUCA
This 4799-nucleotide long non-coding RNA is filed under the name Theobroma cacao (cacao). RNAcentral describes it as "long non-coding RNA (TCAC_LNC001832)". Lineage: Eukaryota; Viridiplantae; Streptophyta; Magnoliopsida; Malvales; Malvaceae. The record is from RNAcentral.